AUUGAACGCUGGCGGAAUGCUUUACACAUGCAAGUCGAACGGCAGCACGGACUUCGGUCUGGUGGCGAGUGGCGAACGGGUGAGUAAUGUAUCGGAACGUGCCCAGUCGUGGGGGAUAACGUAGUGAAAAUUACGCUAAUACCGCAUACGAUCUAUGGAUGAAUGCGGGGGAUCGCAAGACCUUGCGCGAUUGGGGCGGCACAUAUCAGAUGAGGUAGUUGGUGGGGUAAAGGCCCACCAAGACAACGAUCUGUAGCUGGUCUGAGAGGACGACCAGCCACACUGGAACUGAGACACGGUCCAGACUCCUACGGGAGGCAGCAGUGGGGAAUUUUGGACAAUGGGCGAAAGCCUGAUCCAGCCAUUCCGCGUGCAGGAUGAAGGCCCUCGGGUUGUAAACUGCUUUUGUACAGAACGAAAAGGUUUCUACUAAUACUAGGAGCUCAUGACGGUACUGUAAGAAUGAGCACCGGCUAACUACGUGCCAGCCGCCGCCGUAA
This 500-nucleotide ribosomal RNA is filed under the name uncultured bacterium. RNAcentral describes it as "partial 16S ribosomal RNA". It matches the Rfam family "Bacterial small subunit ribosomal RNA", at positions 30 to 523 of the family's 1533-position model. The record is from RNAcentral.